RNAcentral lists this long non-coding RNA (1204 nucleotides) under Homo sapiens (human). Its description in RNAcentral is "cancer susceptibility 15". The record is from RNAcentral. Lineage: Eukaryota; Metazoa; Chordata; Mammalia; Primates; Hominidae.
AGGAUGCAAUGGAGAACAUUUACAGAGGACUGUGGGUAAAGCAAAGUCUUCAAGGGAAGAUAACAAAGGAUGAAACAAUGGUGUUGUGUGACUUCCUAAGAAAAAUCAAGACAAGACUUUGUUCUAUUUCAUCAAGUCCUUGACGCCUCCUCCCAGCUGGUGUGAAUCAUGGCAAUACAGUGAAAGACAGUGAUUUACUGCUUUUGAGGGCGUGCAUGUAUAUGAUUAACGGAUGGAAGUGCAGGACUCCAAGAUUUACUUCCUUCCCUUUCCAGCAGAAUUACCUGAGACGAGUAAAAUCUACUGGUGGAGUCACUCCAUUAUUCUUAUCUGUGGAGAUCUAGAUCUUGAUUUGAAAGUUUCUGAGAAAAUCUUCAGCUCAGACUUGAGGGUCAACUUUACCAGCUGAAGGAUCUGCAUUUACUGCUCAACCACAUCUAAUUUGAUGUCCUCUGCAGAUUUAAAAUGUGUGCCUUCUUUUCCGUCACCAAGUCAUCCCUGGGUUACUACUGAACAUCCUUCUCAAUUCCCCCCGACCCAUGGAUGGCUGUUCUCCAUUGUCUGUUUCACCAGAUGUCCUCAAAACAAACAGACAGAAGAAGGAAGUGGCUAAUGGAGCUGUGGAGUCCAAGUGUGACUGCCAAGAGGAAUCCAGCAAAGCCAAAAAGCCCAAGCAUGUAGCCCUGCCCGAAGCACGCCACACGCAUGGAAAACCCAGAGGAAAUGAGUGAGGAUCAAUGGGAAGAAGAGAGCCAGCCAGGAAGUUGAAGAUUUGUCCAGGAGCAGAUAGCUGAAGAGAGAGAGAGAGAAGAGAGAACGGCUUACAGCUCAGGUCCUCUCUCCAUGCUUAGGAACCACUACAAAUGCUACUGCCUUGAGUCUCAUUUUGUUUCCCUCUGGAAACCACAUGUGUACCUUGUUUGCAACAGUAUGGUUCUGGAGACCAGAAGGCCAAAAUCAAAAGUAUGGGCAGGCUUGAUUUCUUUAGAAGACUCCAGCGGAGAACUGUGUCUCCUUGCUUCUGAUUCUACAUCUCCAUCCAUGGGCCACUGUUUCAGCAACCUCAGCCAGUGCAACACAACCUCAGCCAAGAAGAGUAUGCAGAGAAAGGAGUCCCCUACCUGCCACAAAACUGUUGUCUGAAAACUGUCUCAUAUUGUCUCAAGUUGUCAUUCAUUGUGAAUUAGACCUGUUUAACAUGUAA